Molecule: long non-coding RNA, 384 nt
Organism: Ostrea edulis (European flat oyster)
Lineage: Eukaryota; Metazoa; Mollusca; Bivalvia; Ostreida; Ostreidae
Exons: 3
Source: RefSeq, a predicted model, not a curated record
AUUAGAUAAGACACAUUGAUAACCCCAAACGUGAGUGACCUACUAUCACAUAUAGAAAUUCUUCAAUAUGGCGAAGAUUUUGUAUCUCUUGCUUUUGGCCAAUAUAUUAGCGACAUGCUCCAUGCAGCUUAUUACACCGAUGAUGGCUUGUAAUAUGGAAUGCCUUAGGGAGAAAAACGUCACGUCCACUCUGUACGACAGCGUCGAAGCCAAAGAAUGCAGAGAAUAUUGUCACCAGCAUGCAUAUGAUUUUCUACAUCAACUCGGAUAAAAAGAAUAAAUGAAAAGAAAAAAAGAGAAAUCAGUUAUAUUUACAAAGGACUUCAGAAUAUUUAUUAACUAUCACUAUUGUAAGUUUGUGUAACAGUAAAUCAUAUCCUUUAA